RNAcentral lists this ribosomal RNA (98 nucleotides) under uncultured bacterium. RNAcentral's name for it is "partial 16S ribosomal RNA". It matches the Rfam family "Bacterial small subunit ribosomal RNA", at positions 1386 to 1482 of the family's 1533-position model. The record is from RNAcentral.
CACACCGCCCGUCACACCAUGGGAGUUUGUUGCACCAGAAGCAGGUAGCUUAACCGCAAGGGGGGCGCUUGCCACGGUGUGGCCGAUGACGUGGGGUG